Molecule: long non-coding RNA, 2345 nt
Organism: Heterocephalus glaber (naked mole-rat)
Lineage: Eukaryota; Metazoa; Chordata; Mammalia; Rodentia; Bathyergidae
Source: Ensembl
GUCGGAAGUCGCCUCAACCUGCCUGCCCGGAAGCCGUCGCCUUAGCAACACAGCGUUGUCCCGUCCUCUUCCCUUAGCCACGCCCAUUGUACUUAGAAUUCUAGAGCCAGCCAGACAUCGAUUGGUUCACUUAUCCUUCACUCCGCGAGACAGGCGAGACUGCAGGGCUCUGGAGCGCGUUUUUGAAUUUGUAGCGCGUAUAGAGUCCGUGAGGUACCUUGUGGAGUUCGUGCUGUGGCUGGAGCCAGCUACUCAGGGUGAACUCUGAAGUCCUGAGCUAUGGCAGAACUCAAGCCCCUCAAGUCACAUAGAAAUCUACCCAUCAAACACUGGAUUGCCAUCGCCUGCCCCUGGCUCAGCGCCCGGUGCCAACAGAACACCUUUCAGGAUUCACAGCAGCGCAGACAACAAGUCCAGGAUCCCGGCCUCUGAUUGGAACAGAACAGUGUCAUGGCGGAGACGACGGCCUUUGUCUUGCUGGAUGUGAAAACAUCCGCUGUGCUGGCUCCACUGCGGCAGAAUCAAGUUUAAAGGAAAAAAAGUGAUUAAAGUCAGCUUUGUGCCUCUUUGGUGUGGAAGACCCACAGACCUCAAGUAGCCGACUCCCAGGUCCGAGGAAGGGCUCAUAGUUGGAGCAGCCUAGGCUGUAAUCCUGGCACUGGCGCCUUCGGUUGCUGCUUGCUGUUCGCUCCUGGGGGUCUGGAUAAUCUCCCUUGGCUUUACCGCACUGUCUGGCCCGCAUACAGGGCCCCGUAACAUAUACCCGCUCCUGCUAUCACACGAAACUGUGGCGUUGCCCCUGAAUGGAUGGCACCGUGCCAACUCUUCUGCCAUCCGCCCUUGCAGCUUUUUUCUUUCCUCCCUCCCUCCCCUUCUUCUCCUCCUCCCGUCGACUUGACGUUAAUUAACACACGGGUUAAUUGAUUUUAAAAGCCGAAGAAUUACAGUUAACUUUUCCCACAGGGUACAGACGCCAGCCGCUUGGCACACUCUGCCUUUCGCACUAGUUAGUGCAGGGGGGCAGGGAAAGCCCACAGCAAAACUAGCAACUGCUGAAGGAACGUUGCUUGCUUAUUGGAGUAGAGCCGACAGAAGUCGACGUGGCACUGCCUCAUCCUUUGCAAUAUAUGUAGCCAUUAUAUAUUUUGCUAAAUAAUCAAAACAGAACCCUAGCUUUCUUCUCCCUUCCUCUUUCAAAAUGGGAAAACCUUUCUGAAGUUCACUUAGAGGGGGGGAAAAACCCUCCCCAGGACCAUUUAUCUCAUCUAUAAUAUGCUUUUUUUCCCCAGCAUCAUGAAAAUAACCAGUGCCUUUUAAUUUUUUAAUCUUUAUAUAUUUAUUUUUUAGUUUGAAAAAAGGAAGUCUCUCCCUUCCUUUAAUAUUACUGGCAUAGGAGAUUAUUAUUUUAAAGAAAAAGUUCCAUGAAGUUUUUUUCUAUACCUGAGUGUUUUGUUUGGUUUCCAUUCCUCUUGACCUAAAUGGGUUAUUUAUUGUAAAAGAUUACAGUGAGAAAGUAGGUAAAUUUUAAUUAAGAACAAAAUCCAUACCAAAGCUCUUUGUUUUUUUGUUUGUAUGUGAGUAUAUUUUUACUGUCUGCUUCCCCCCAAUGAAAUGAAAGCAAUUGAUACUGUAGUUGGAAAGCAGAGGCAAAGCUGAGAACUUGAUGCUUUCACCUUUUCAUGCUUUCAUUUAUUUCAUUUUGUUUUUUAAAAGCAUGCAGCAAGUGAAGCGACAAGAGGAAUCCAUUAUGCAAAUCAUGUCACUUUGCAUAAUGUCUCGUGACUGGAAUAUGCAAAUUAGCUGUAUAAUUUAUGAGUGCCAGUGUCUGUCUAAAAGUGUUUCACAUAAUUUACAAAGUAAGCCUGAGAGACAUUGGGAAGGCAGCUCUUCCAACUCCAUUGCUAGGAAUGCUCUGUGUAUUUUCCUACAAGUGCCCACUCAUAAUACCUAAUAUCAUCAAGUGCAGUUUAAGAAAUUAAGGUUCCACAUGUUCGUGAAAGACAAAGAUUUUCCUCUAACUCUAUUUGUCCAUUGAUUUUUUGCCUAAAACUUUGCCAGAAACUUAGAUCCUCAUACCUUAAUUUUCAGAUUUAACUUCAAAAAACAAAAAACUUAUUAAAGCCAAACAUGCUAUUUGUAUAUGAGUUUUCCUUUCUCAAUUAAAGAAUAUCUUAGAGAAAUAGACACUUAAUCGAUGUGUCUGGAUCUGUGAAAAAGAAGAACGGGACUUCUCAUUUUGUUUGUAUGAGAUAUGUCCUGCUCUGAGGACAUGUAAAGGUACGUAAAGGUAUGUAUGCUCUGCUCUGUGCAACAUUUUGUAUGUCAUAGACAUUGAUGUGGAAGGC